UAGUCCACGCCGUAAACGAUGAAUACUAGGUGUCGGGGGUCGAACCUCGGUGCCGCAGCUAACGCAUUAAGUAUUCCACCUGGGGAGUACGAUCGCAAGAUUGAAACUCAAAGGAAUUGACGGGGGCCCGCACAAGCGGUGGAGCAUGUGGUUUAAUUCGAAGCAACGCGAAGAACCUUACCAAAUCUUGACAUCCCGAUGACCGCCAUUUAAUUUGGCUUUUCUUCGGAACAUCGGUGACAGGUGGUGCAUGGUUGUCGUCAGCUCGUGUCGUGAGAUGUUGGGUUAAGUCCCGCAACGAGCGCAACCCUCACUUUUAGUAGCCAGCACGUAAUGGUGGGGACUCUAGAGGGACUGCCGAGGUCAACUCGGAGGAAGGUGGGGAUGACGUUAAAUCAUCAUGCCCCUUAUGAUUUGGGGCUACACACGUGCUACAAUGGUAGUUACAAAGGGGAAGCGAAGCCGCGAGGUGGGAGCAAACCCCAAAAAAGCUAUCCCAGUUCGGGAUUGUAGUCUGCAACUCGACUACA
Molecule: ribosomal RNA, 530 nt
Filed under: uncultured bacterium
Lineage: Bacteria
Description: bacterial SSU rRNA
Rfam family: Bacterial small subunit ribosomal RNA
Source: RNAcentral